RNAcentral lists this ribosomal RNA (441 nucleotides) under Lacticaseibacillus paracasei. Its description in RNAcentral is "bacterial SSU rRNA". It matches the Rfam family "Bacterial small subunit ribosomal RNA", at positions 62 to 476 of the family's 1533-position model. Lineage: Bacteria; Bacillati; Bacillota; Bacilli; Lactobacillales; Lactobacillaceae. The record is from RNAcentral.
GCGAACGAGUUCUCGUUGAUGAUCGGGCUUGCACCGAGAUUCAACAUGGAACGAGUGGCGGACGGGUGAGUAACACGUGGGUAACCUGCCCUUAAGUGGGGGAUAACAUUUGGAAACAGAUGCUAAUACCGCAUAGAUCCAAGAACCGCAUGGUUCUUGGCUGAAAGAUGGCGUAAGCUAUCGCUUUUGGAUGGACCCGCGGCGUAUUAGCUAGUUGGUGAGGUAAUGGCUCACCAAGGCGAUGAUACGUAGCCGAACUGAGAGGUUGAUCGGCCACAUUGGGACUGAGACACGGCCCAAACUCCUACGGGAGGCAGCAGUAGGGAAUCUUCCACAAUGGACGCAAGUCUGAUGGAGCAACGCCGCGUGAGUGAAGAAGGCUUUCGGGUCGUAAAACUCUGUUGUUGGAGAAGAAUGGUCGGCAGAGUAACUGUUGUCGGC